CAAGAAGUUCCACUUGAUCUUUACAUCAAGCCUUAUUCGAAAAGAAAACAUGAACGAAAGCCAAGGUGUGAAUCAUAAAGAAACACAUCCACAUGCUGGUGCCUUUACAGCACUCUGCAGCGAGCGAAGCAGAGCACCCUAGCCAGUGUUCUGCAUGCCGGCGGCGAUGCCCUUCAUGGUGAGGAUGAGCGUGUCCUCCAGCCCCGGCCCGUACUCGCUCGCCGGGUUGAGCUUCACAAUCCCGCGCGGCUGGUUCUCGUCGGCGAACUCCUUGGACAGCGGCGGCUGCGGCGUCACCUUGAAGUUCGGGUCCCUUAUCCUCUUCAGGGUGUAGGCCUGCCACACGUUAAGAAUGGUGAUGUAGGGGUCGCGCAGCCGCAGCUGCUGCUUCAGGCCGGGAUCGCUUUCAAGGAUUUCCUUGUGCCCAGCAACCUGCACAAAGAUGGUGAGUAGUCAGGAUUUCCUUGUGCCCAGCAAUCUGCACAAAGAUGAAAUUCAUUCAUAUGAGUUUUAAUUUAUUACCUGCAGGAUAAGCUUCUCUGUUUCCACGUAGUUGUUCCUGAGCUGCUCCCCGAAUGGCUUGAGUUCGUCGGCGACGAGCAGCUGGUCGUAGAGGCCGGCGAUGGUGGGGUCUCCCUUGGCUAAGACCAUCUCGAGCAGGUCCAGGGUGACCCUGAAGAAUGGCCACUCGUUGUACAUCUCCUUGAGCAUCUGGAAGUUCUUGAUAUCCUUCUUCAUGGCGUGCUUGAACGCGGCGCCGAACCCGAGCCACACCGGGAGGUGGAACCUCGUCUGCGUCCACGAGAAGAUCCACGGGAUCGCGCGGAGCGACUCGAUGCCGCCCUUCGGCUUCCUCUUCGCCGGUCGGCUGCCGAUGUUCAACCUGCCGUACUCCGUCUCCGGGGUAGCCGACCGGAAGUACUCCACGAACCGGGGCUCCCUCAUGACGACGGAGCGGUACUCAUCGGUGGCGACGGCGGCGAUCUCGUCCAUGAGCGCGCGCCACUCGGGCUUGGGGGAGACCGGCGGGUGCAUGCCGUGCUCGAGCGUGGCGGCGGUGAAGCGCUGCAGCGUCCGGAAGCAGAGGUGCUCUUCGCCGAAGGAGGUUUCGAUGACCUCGCCCUGCACCGUCACACGGAGGGACCCGUUGAUGGUGUCCGGCGGCUGGGACAGGAUGGCGAGGUGAGUCGGCCCGCCGCCCCUGCCGACGGUGCCGCCGCGGCCGUGGAACAUGGUCAGCUUCACGCCGUAGCGCUUCGCCACCUUCGCCAUCUCCUCCUGCGCCUUGUACAGGUGCCACGCCGCCGACAGCCGGCCGGCGUCCUUGCCGGAGUCCGAGUAGCCGACCAUCACCUGCUGCUUGCCGCCGAUCCGGUUCAUGUACCAGUCCAGGGAGAAGAGCCGCUCUAUGGACGCCGGCGCCGACUGCAAGUCGGCGAGCUUCUCGAACAGCGGGACCACGGGCAGCGGCUGCUUCACGUGGCACUCACGCUGCAGGAGCUCGACGGCGAGCACGUCGGAGGGCGCCGUCGCCAUGGAGAUGAUGUACGGGCCGAAGCUGUCGCGGGGCAGCUCGGCGAGGACGUGGAAACAUCCGAGCACGUCGGCGAUCUCCUCGGUCUGGGGCAUGUCCUUGCUCAGCAGUGGCCGCUUGCCGCGGAGCUCGGAGAGCAGCCACUCCUGGCGCUUCUCCUCGGACCACUCGCGGUAGGACCCGAUGCCGAGGUGCGUGGUGAUCGCGUCGAUCACGUCUGUGUGACGCUCCGACUCCUGACGGAUGUCCAGCUUCACCAUGGAGAGCCCGAACGUCGAGACCUGCCGCAUGAAGUCGAGCAGGCUCCCGUCGGCGAUGGUCUUGUCACCACAGUCACACAGGGAUUUGUAGCACAGCUCAAGGGGCUCCAGGAACUGACCAAAUUUGAAGGGUUCCACAGUGACAUUAGUUAAACUAUAUUAUGAUAAGGAGCAUGACAUUAACAAAUAACAAUGUUUAUGGAACCCUCAAAAUAACAAGAGGAGCAUGAUGCCGGAUUACCUCUUCAACAUUCUUAAAGGCCGAGUCCUCCGGAAUGUCAGAAAAUCCACUAGUUAGCAGAUGGCGCGAGCGUUCGCGUGUGCUGU
This 2121-nucleotide long non-coding RNA is filed under the name Setaria viridis. RNAcentral describes it as "long non-coding RNA (SVIR_LNC004798)". The record is from RNAcentral. Lineage: Eukaryota; Viridiplantae; Streptophyta; Magnoliopsida; Poales; Poaceae.